CCUGGGGACACACACAGCCCCGUGCCUGGGCUUAUCGGAACAGUCAGCCUGUGUUCCCCAGAGGUGGACUUUAAACACAGCCAUGGAGGCCGGGAGCAGAUCCCAGCGAUUAGAGAGGGCAAAGGCAAGCACCUACUUCUUUUGCAUUUGAUUACUCGGGGUAUCUCAUGAAGUGGAGAAGAGCAUUUGUGUGACUGACUUCACCAAGCUUCAUCCAUGCUGAGCGCUGCUCAAGAUCCAAGCCAGGAUUCUGAGCUACAGCCUCAGUCAUUAAGGCUCUUUUGACAUGACUUUGGAAUCCUUUCAAGUGGUGCGAGCCCAUGUUCCCUCACCCUGAGGCUGGGUAGAACUGAGGAUGUAGUUCAGAGAGACUUCUCAAGAUCUCCUGGCACAACUUUCAAGCAGUCAACGGGUUUUUAUAUGAAGACAGAAUCCACAAAGGCAUUCUUCCUGACCACACCUCAGUUCCUCUGCACCCUCUCCUCAGCUGGGCCCCGGUUUCGGACCUUUCAUGCUUAUCCCUCCACCCUAGUAUCUCAUCAGGCUCCUGUCCCUGUGCAGCAAGAUAGCCCAAUCACUGCUCGGUCAUCGGCUCCCUAUGCCCACUGUCCCCUGCCCCAUAACCUGGAGUUCAGCUUAGUCUCUCACUGAAAUCCUCAUUACAGCUGCACCAUCCCCACAUCCCCAAUAAAGUCUGCCUGUCUUAAACAAGCACCACAAAGAUCUAUCUUUAAACAUGGAGUACCUAAAGUGGAUUUAGUUUCACAUACCCGUGCA
Long non-coding RNA from Peromyscus maniculatus bairdii (prairie deer mouse), 777 nucleotides. RefSeq lists it as uncharacterized. Lineage: Eukaryota; Metazoa; Chordata; Mammalia; Rodentia; Cricetidae. The record is from RefSeq and is a predicted model, not a curated record.